RNAcentral lists this unclassified non-coding RNA (13460 nucleotides) under Diabrotica virgifera virgifera (western corn rootworm). RNAcentral's name for it is "nAD kinase". Lineage: Eukaryota; Metazoa; Arthropoda; Insecta; Coleoptera; Chrysomelidae. The record is from RNAcentral.
UUAUCGCGCCCGAAGAGUGAUUAGUGUUUUGCAUCAUAAAAACGUUGACAACUAUAAAUAAAUUACUAUUUUACGGUAUUUUUAAAAUAGAAAACCUAUUGCUGCCAUUUGUGGAACAUUUCAACUGAUUUAAUAGCGAAAGUUGCUCAAAACUACGGUGUGUGUUCGUUUACCUUUCAAAAAUGGGUCAAUUUUUAAUUACCAGUUAAUUAAUCGUCUCUGCAAAUUGAUUUUCUUGAGCUACCAACUGUGAAAUAAUGGCAUCUCUAUGGGUCGGUUCAGAAACAGAUUUGCCCACUUUGCAGAAGUGCAGAAUGGCAGAUAGGUUAGAAUUUCGGUUGACCUGUUUACACAAUAAAAAGCAUCUGGACCAAGACAACAAAUUUGAGUUAAUGGAAAGCAAAUCUUUGGAAGAGGAUAGUGAAAUUAGCAGAAGACAAAGUCGAUCAGGAACUUGGCCGAGAACCAGAUCUUUGAACGCACCAUCACCUGUUCAACAAUUUGGACCAUGUGGCCGAAUAAUGAAAAAUUCUUCUAUGGUCAUGACCAUACAAGAUCCUGCUAGUCAAAGACUGACUUGGUACAAACCACCUUUAACAGUACUUGUGAUAAAAAAAGUUCGAGAUGCGAGCGUAUAUUCACCAUUUGUUCAACUUGUCCAAUGGCUCAUCAAUGAAAAACGAAUGGUCGUGUUCGUGGAAGCAUCCGUAAUGGAGGAUAACCACUUAGAAAACUAUAAGUCGUUCGCGAACAUCAAAGAAAAACUGAUGACUUUCAGAGAUGGCAAAGACGAUCUCACCGACAAAAUAGAUUUCAUAAUUUGUUUGGGAGGCGACGGAACUCUUCUCUACGCCAGCCAGUUGUUCCAGCAAUCAGUUCCUCCAGUAAUGGCAUUCCAUCUUGGCUCUCUAGGUUUUCUCACACCAUUCCAGUUCGAAAAUUUUCAAGAACAAGUUAAUAAUGUUCUCGAAGGUCACGCAGCUUUAACGUUAAGAAGCCGUUUGAGGUGUAUAGUGAUGAAAAAGGGCGACGGUCAAAACAAAUCAAAUGACAAGCCAACUAAAGUUCCUACAAACGUUUUGGUAUUAAAUGAAGUAGUUAUUGAUAGGGGUCCCUCACCUUAUUUAUCAAAUAUAGAUUUAUUUUUGGAUGGUAAACAUAUAACUUCAGUACAAGGCGAUGGUCUAAUCGUCAGCACACCAACCGGAAGUACCGCAUAUGCAGUAGCAGCAGGGGCUUCGAUGAUCCAUCCCAGUGUACCUGCGAUUAUGGUAACUCCGAUUUGUCCUCAUUCCCUUAGUUUUAGGCCAAUCGUGGUUCCUGCUGGAGUAGAGCUUAAAAUAUCAGUGUCUCCAGACAGUCGAAACACUUCAUGGGUAUCAUUUGAUGGAAGAAAUCGGCAAGAGCUCGUACAUGGAGACAGUUUAAGAGUAACAACGUCGAUCUACCCAGUUCCCAGUAUAUGUGCUCAGGACCAAAUCUCAGAUUGGUUCGACUCGCUGGCAGAGUGCCUUCACUGGAACGUCAGGAAGAGGCAGAAACACUUGGACGAACUAAAUGACCUCACGCAUUCAAGCUCCAACGAUACCUUAGAUUCCAUAGAAAGGGACGUCUUAGAAAAGGAAGAAAAGUCAUAAAAAUGUUUUGUUUUCAGUAAAUCGUUCGGAAAGGGAAUCAUGUGCACAAAUUUUUAAAUGUUUACAACUUUUAUCAGUUUUAUUACGUUUUUAAGAGCAAUUUUAAGCGGUUAAUAAAGACAUAUUUUGAUUAUACUUUCUCAUAUGUGUUUUAUACAUAUGUUUUGUUAAAUUGGACACUGAUGAAUAAAAAUGUUGCGUAAAAUGUAAUGUUUAAGGUUCUAGAUAUAAUAAUGGUUACCAUUGAAUGCUGGAUAUCAAAUAAUUGAUAUCCGUGCCAAAAGUUUUUUAGAUUCGAAAACUUUUCAUUUAGGUUUUUAGACAAUCACCAAAAAAUACAUUGGACUCAAAGUUUCUGUAGUAUAUAAAGAAAAAUGCUUACAGUUGAGUCCCCGAGUCUUUACCCGUGCGUCAUUAUUUAAAGCAUACGAAAUAAGUCGGAAAUUUACUAAAGGCAACAGUAAGUGACAGAAAGUGGCUAUUAUUCCGAUCACGGGUUAUAGUAUAAAAUUUGACGUUAUCAAAUAAAUAGAAUGUCAAAUUUAAGUUUUGCUUUAAAAUUUUGGUGCAUAAUUACAGCUACAUUUGAAGUAGCUUAAUAAAUUAUUUUAUUAUCAUUGAUUAAUAAAUAAAUAAACAAUUUAUAAAAAAAGUCGGAUAACAUAUUUUCUUUUUGUUAUUUUACUCACUUUGGCGGAAUAUUAAACACAAGCAUUCCUUAACUGUGUCAACGAUGAGGUUAUUUGUACGUUGUCAAAAUUUAUCGUAAAAUAACAUAAACUUAUCAUAAAAUUUCUAAUCAAGUAUAUUCAAAUGGGAAAUAAGCCACAAUUUUACCUAAAAAUGAUUUUAUUAACGUUUUUAAGUCGUCUACUUUAAAAUGUAUAAUACGUGUCUGAAUUGCCGAUAUAAAUGAGUCAGAUUAAAUAAAUUAUUAGAAGAAUUUUUUACUAAGCAACAACAUUUUUAUUUAUUUAGUAUUAUUUUGUAUUUUGACAACGACACCCGACUUGGGCGUCGAAACGUUAAUAAAAUCAUUUUUAGGUAAAAUUGUGGCUUAUUUCCCAUUUGAAUAUACUUGAUUAUAAAAAUGCCACAAGAAAAUAGCUUCAGAACAACAUAAAAUUUCUAACUCCAAUAUAAAAUUAGUUGUGAAACCAACUGUUUGUAUACUAUAAAAAACUUCAAAAUGCAAAAAUUCGACAAAAUAACAGCAAAAAAUUCGACAAACUGACAGCCACAAAAGUAAACAAACCAAAACGUCAGAAAUUGUACUUAAAAUAUGUGAAAACAUCCCCAAUCGUCUUUCUUUGUACUUAUCUCUUUUCAAUGCACUGAGUCUAGAUCGUUCAUAAAAUUAACAUGUGUUUUUACUUAAUAACAGGCGACAGCUGGUUUGUCAUUAGUUUCAUGCGUGGAAGAGAAUGAUGCUAGAUAAAAAGUAUGUGUUUUAUCUCGCCAGGUAUUAAUGACGCACGGGUAAAGACUCGCGGACUCAACUGUACAUUAUUGCCUCUACUGACUAAGAAAAUCUAAUAAGUUAAUCAUCAUCAUCAACAGUUAUUCCAUCUAUCGUAAGAUGUAAGCGUUCCUUAGUACUUCUUAAUUCAUUGCUGUUCGUUAUUUUUUGCAUCUAUUCGUGACCAGCCAUUGGCUUGAUGACAGUCCAUCUGGUUUGAAGUCUGCCUCUACUUCUCUUAUUUAAUUGGCACAUCUCAGAUCUUCAGGUUUUCGCCUGUAUCGUCACUCCUUUAUUUGCCCAUUCUAAAGUUCGAAAUAGAUCUUCUAGAGCUAAAGUAAAUAGGAAUUAGGAGAAAAAUAUAAACAUUUUUCUAUACUUAUACCCUGCUUCUUCUUCUUCUUAAGGUGCCGAGACCGCUUGUCGAUCGUUGGCUCUCAUGUUGCCCAGCAUAUUAAUAAUCAUUGUGUUUUUUACCCUGCUAUACAUAUCUUAUUUGGAUCGGUCUGUACUAUUACUGUAUAUAUACAGCGUAUUAUGCCUGUGGGUUCCCUCUCUAUCCCAACAGGCGUUGUCACUUCACACACAUCUUAUGGAAAAUAUAAUGUCACUCAAAUUCAAUAAAAUGUAUACGAGUGGAUUCGUUUUAAAUUAACGGUCAAUUCUUAUCAUUGCGCCAACUCUUAAUUAUGAUUAAUUACGGCGCAAAUUGCAAUUAAGGUUUAUCGAAAUCACAUUUUUGGAGUCUAUAAACGUGUCAGUUAUAAUCACUAUUGCUCUGGGUGCUAUUCAAAACAGCUUAAACCCCGCUGGGCCUAAGCGGAUUAGUGAAACUAUUAUAAUAAGAUGCUUAAUAGCCCGAGAAGAUUUAUGAAGUACAUACCUAUAAUUUGGGUAUUUUAAAAUAUUUUUUCUCUCUCUAACUUAUGUACAGCUGGUUCCUAAAAAAACUGAUACGACUCUUAAAGCGUAUUUUGUAGAAAAUUGAGCAGUGUAUUUUGAAGGAUAAAAUUUGUUAUUUACACACUGUCACUGCCAAAUCUUAAAAUUUGUCAGAUAACUUAUUCUAUUCAGUCUCAAAAAAUGGCUCCACAUGCUAGCAAAGAGCUAGAAGCAAGAAUUGUAACGAAAUUGGAAGAUGUUUGGUCAGUAUCUGCCAUAGCGAACCAUUUUAACGUAAGCAGAACAACAGAUUUAAAACAAUUCUUACUUUAAUAUAUUGUUGAGUUAAGUCGUUUAUUUUAUUCCUUAAUAAUAUUAAAAAUAAUAACAACAACCCUAUUUUAUGUAAAAACUGUCAUUUAUUAUACUCUUUAUAAAAUGCAGGAAUUCAAAAUAAUAUCAAAAUUUAGACCUUAAUAAUUAUUUCAAUUUAUGAAUUAACAUAUGUAAUCAGCUGUUUGUUGUUUGUUUGUUUAUUUUAUUAUUUGUCUGUCAUAAUAAAUAUAAUAUAAUGUCAGACCAAUCAAAAUUUGAUUGGUCGGUAUUUAAUACACUGCUCAAAAUGAUCAAAUCUUACUAAGAGUCGUAUCAGUUUUUUUAGGAACCAGCUGUACCUACCCAUUUGAUUUCAGAUUGAUUUAUAUCAAUUUCUGCUCUUAUUAUUGAAAAUUAAGAGUUAUCGCAAUGAUAAGAAUUGACCGUUAAAUUGAAACGAAUAUAUUCAUAUAAAUUUUAUUGAAUUUAAGUGACAUUAUAUUUUCCAUAAGAUGUGUGCGAUGUCCUUUCUUUCUGACAUUGCUUUGGUUAUUCCAUGUUGUGCGUAGUCUGGUCGUUUUCUGUUCUUCGGCGGAAUCCAUAUUAUUGUCUUUUUUGGAAGCCGUUCCUCUUCCAUUCGACUUCCGUGUCCUUCUUCUUUUUCUUUGGGUGCUGCAAACUAUGCAGCGUGUAGGCGUUCAUACUGGUUAUCGAAUGUACAGUACACUCUUCUUAGUAACGAGCAGUAAUUCAGUAGGUUUCCUGUUAUUUUUGUUUUCUUUAAACAAUAUAUUGACAAAAUCGCUCAACAAAAUUAAAGCGUAAUAUAAAUCCGGCUCGAAAGACCAUAAAAAUAUGGAAGUGAUUACCAAAAAUUUAGUUUUUUGAAGCAUACUUUAUUUCUCUACUGUCUAGUCUCAAAAUAUGAGCCAUACACGAUAUAACUUGUAAGCUGCAUUGUUGGUAUUAACCCGGGCACACUCCCGCUCUCUUCUGCCACGUAAGCAGUCGCGCUUUAGAUUAAAUCUUACAAUACAAAUUUAAAUACGAAUUUAAAACAAAUUUUUUAUUUUAUAAUAUUUUUAUUUACUUUUUAUUUUAAAAAUAUUUAUUUCUAAUAAUUUUAAAGCUAAUUGGUUCCCACCAAAGCGAUAAAUUCCAUAAAAAAAUAUCUACGGAUUACUACAAUCUUAGUACCUACUACAAGUUAUCACGGAAAAGGAUAAAAUGUUAGAUUAUUUCUAACGGGGCGACUGCUCCCGGGUUAAACUAUUACUUGUCAUUAGGCUGCCAGUAACUCUAAAAUCUAAAUGAAAAUAUGAAGUAUCCAUUAUUAUGUCUAUUGUCUGUUAAUUUAUAUUUAAACUCCGAUGGAAAUUAUUAAUUAUAAGAUUUUUACAAAAUUUACUAUUAAUUUUUUAAAUUAUAUUAGACCGUAGGAACUGCAAUACUUGUAUUGCAGGCUAAAACAUUGUAUUGGUGCCUUAAUGUUAUUAUGACACAAAACUUCCAAUUAUUAAAAUGCACCAAAACCAAUAUACACUCUAUAUGAAAUAUUUAUUCUGUUUUUAAUUUGAGUUGAACGUUUUAUAUAUCUAAUUUUGUAACAUAAGCAGUUUAGGAAGACCAUAAUUGUUUUGUGGUUUUUAUCGAACUAUAAAUAGAAAAUCUUACUCCCAAGAGCUUAUCUUAAGACAAAACGGUUUGUAACUUAUUGAUGCCUUUUUUUGUUGUGUUUUUCAACGAGUUUGGAACUUUUUCCUAAAGAUUUCUUACUACUACAUCGGUUUACAGCGUUCUCCGACGGCUUUCAACUCCUAACCGGCAUUCUUCUUUGUUUAACCAUAUACCUGGAGGAUUUUUCUUUCUUAUAGUUCUUUUUCGAUUCCCUCCCUCUAGUUUCUUCUCGGCCUUACUCUUUUCCUUCUCCUUUGUGGUGUCUACUUCAAAAUCUGUUUAGGGAUCCUGUCAUCUAACAUUCUCUGUACAUGGCCGUACCAUAUUAGGUGUUUUGUUUUUAUGUCAUUAUUCCGUUGGUGGGUGUGUUAACGGAAACAAUUAUAUAAAAUAAUAUUAAUUAAAACGCAAGCAAUUUUCAAUAAUAUACCUAGUCAUUUUUGGAUAAACAAGCGUGCUUCGUUUAUUAUCUCGUAAGGGUUUUGUUGUUGUUUUAGCGAGGGUGUGUCUGAACCGCGCGCCUGCUGUGUCGAUACUGCGAGACCACCACACUCUAUUAUGUCACCAUGCUUGCGGUUUUACAAUAUGGCUAGAAAGGCAAUAAAUUACUACAUCUGCGUUUUAAAAGAUGAGAACCUUUCUGUAUUUUAAGAAGUUACAUAAAGAGCGUGGCAAUCUGGCCUCGAAAUCUAUUAGUGUUUCCUUGAAAAAAAGAUUAAUUUUAUACAAUCUGCUUAGGGAUACAUUUCGUUUCUUAAACUUAACGGCCCUUGUAUAUUAAAUGAGAAUUUUAAAUGACUAAUGUUAUUUCGUUUUGAGAAAAGUUAUUAAAAAUUUAGCAAAAAUAGUAAUUAAAGCAUGUCGCUAUCAUUAAUUUAUAUCGUCAUCAUUAAUUUAUUGUGUGCGUGACUCCCAUCAUUUCUCGUAUUCUCUCAUUUGGUAUCCGAGCUCUUCUUGAUUUGCCUGCUGCUUUUCUCCAGAAGUCCAUUUCUGUUCCCAGUAACAUUUUCUCUGUUCUUUUUUGGUACCCUAAACUUUUUGUAUACAGUAGCUUUACACUCUCAUGGUUUAAAUGGUAAAAUGGCAUAGGUUGUACCGUACUUAUUUUAUUUAUUAACUGAUUUGCCUCGAUGUGCUCUUUUUUUCGAAUCUGUUUGGGAGUACCGCUUUAACUUUUAGCAGAUGAUGAUCGGUGCCACAUGAUGGCCCUCUGGCUACCCGCAGAUCUUGUAUUUUAAUUGUAGUUCUCUGUCUUCUCUGAAUUACAAAAUACUCCGCACAAUGCGGCACAAACCUUAUGGAAAUUAGGUCCCCGUGGAUUUAGUUCAUACUUUGGGAAUAUACCUCCUGAAGCAUCCUGAUAAAAAGUUCUCAUGGGCAAAUCUCGAUCGUAUGGAAGAUUUUCAAGAUAUAGAGGCACAAACUUGGAAAAUUAUAAGAUUUACCGGGUAUUCCAAUUCCCUGAGUUACUGGUUAUCUGGCAACAUGUAGAAGUAUGGAUUAAAUAAAACUACUAGUAGUCUAGAAUUUUUUCCUGGCUAUCCAAUGGCUACCUUUACUUUGACCUUGACCUUCAACGGACGUCAUCUUCUAGAGUUUCAAGGGUUUUCAGCAUUAAAUUGAUAUAAACAGAUGGGUUUUUGGGAUCGCUAAACACGAAUAUACCAUCAGAAUUGACCUCCAAAGGACGUGAUGGCCAGGGCCACUACAAGGGACAUCAUCUUCUAGAGUUUCGAUGGUUUUCGGCAUUUAAUUGAUGCAAAUGAAUUACUGAAGGGUUUUUUGAGGUCGCCAAACACUAAUAUGCCACCAGAACCGACUCCCGGGACACCUGGUUUCCAAGAUCAAUGAAAGGGGAUCCUGGAGUUUCGAGGGUCUUCGGUACUACAUUGAUGCAAUCGGAUUACUCAUAGGUUUUUGGAGUUGCUGACAGUGGCGGCUCGUAUAACUUUAGGAAGGUAGUGCCAGAAUCCGGGCAGCUGCCUAAAUUUUUUGUGGCGGUUUUACGAUAUGGUCAAAAAGGAUAUAAAAUAUAAAUAGAGUAUCACGAUAAGCUGAAUUUAAUUGGGUUUUUAUAUUUAACUUACCAAGCAUUGAAAAGCUAAAAACGUUAUUCAUGUGCACUUUAGAUUUUUCAUGGGAUUUCAAUUUCUCCCAUAUAUGUACAAGAUCAUCGGUGCCUUUGUUUGACCAAGUCUCGUCACCUCCAAACAAAACGCAUACAAAACAGAAGAGUUUAUUAGUUUGUUCGCAACCACACAACCAGCUAUUUUUAUCAUAAAUAAUUUUAUUAAACUUACGACAGCGAAGUUUUUGUCCAUUUCCACUUUGUUUUUCAAUUUUUAAAUCGGGUAAAGGCCGACCGAGUUCUUUAAUUUGUAGUUUUUUUUCUAACGAAAAACCACCAAAAGAGUUUUUUAAUAUACUAAUUUGAUUCAUUGUCAAUAAAUAAAUUAAACGUAGAAAAUAAUCAAAAUAUUAUUUUUAUACCUACGACACCCACGAUCACAACGCACUAACUAAUAAUUACAAAUUAAAAAAUAUAGUAGAGUAUAAACACAAAUAUACAAUACAGUAGUAGACAAUAAACACAAUAGCGUCAAGCGAACGCGUAAAGAAACUAGAAAUAUGUAGAUCUAAAACAUUGUAUCUUAAGAUCCACUAACUUCCUUUUCGAGAUUUCGAGCCUGGCACGGAGACUCCAAUUUAAACGUAUGUUAAAAGUGCAAUACCGCUCUCUCUCUGUCACUUACACAGGAUGCUCAUACAAUCUUUCUCUUUUCUCACGAGCCACUAUGCCGUUCGGCACUGGGAUUUUUAUGAUUUUCAUCCUUUAUCCGGUCAGCUGUGGGUGGCCAGAGUCGGUAGAUUUGCAUUGCGCUACACAGUUGCCAGAUUUGAUAUAAUUUAUAAAAAUAAAGAGAAAUAUUCACAAAAAAAUAAACAGGCAUUAAAAUGUUUUUAAGAUAAAAAAUAUGUUUCUGCAUAGUUAGCAAGGUAGUGCCAUGGCUCUAUGGCACUACCUCACGGGCCGCCACUGGUUGCUGAACACGAAUACCUCAUCAGAACAGACAUCGUAGUACCUGGUGCCUAAGACACGUUAUGCUUUGGAGAUUCGAGAGCUUUCGGUACUAAAUUAAUGUAAACUGAUUACUCACAGGUUUUUGGGACUGCUGAACGUGAAUACGCAAUCAGAUCCGACCCACGGAGCACCUGGUGCCUAAGGCAGGUCUUCUUCUGGAGUUUCGACAGGUUUCGGCAUUAAAUUGAUGCAGAUGGGUAUCCGGACACCGGGGUACCUAUUGCCUAAGGCAUCGUUUCCCAACCGGUGGGUCGCGGAAAGAUUUCAGGUGGGUCGUGGAAAGAUUUCAGGUGGGUCGUGGAGUGGCUCUGACAGUAGCUGAGUGACGUACAGAGUACAUAAUAACGUAUCAUCAUGAAUGAGGGAUGGGUCACGAAUAUGAAAAAACAUCAGAAAGUGGGUCGCCAGGCGGAAAAGGUUGGGAACCACUGGCCUAAGGCACGUCAUCUUCUGACGUUAGGAGAGUUUUCGGUACUAAAUUGAUGCAAGCGGAUUACUCUUGUGUUUUUGUGGUUGCUGAACACGAAUAUGACUUAGAUAAAAGACUCUGGAGUAUCUAGUGACCACGAUCAAUAACACUAUCAAAAUAGAAUAUAGUAAAUCGAUCUUACAAUAAAUAAAGGAAAAACAUUGCCAGAUAUAAAUUGAGUUUAUAUUUAUAAAUAAUUAAAACAAUUGAAGAGCACAACCUAGUUAUUUUAAUAAAAAUCUAAGCAAAAAACAACUUUUUACCAAUUUGUACGCUUUCUUUGAACAGCAACUCAGAAAACCUCCGAGUACUCGGUGAAACUAGAGUACCCAGAGUACUCAGAAAACUCGAAACUAUACAAGAUGAUGUGCCUUAGGCACCAGGUACUCCGAUGUCUGUUCUGAUGGGGUAUUCAUGUUCAGCAACUCCAAAAACCUAUGAGUAAUUCGUUUGCAGCAAUGUAGUACCGAAGACCCUCGAAACUCCUGGAGCCCCCUUCAUUGACUUUGGAAAGCAGGUGCUCCGGGAGUCAAUUCUGAUGGCAUAUUCGUGUUUUGCGAUCCCAAAAAUCCAUGAGUAAUCUGUUUAUAUCAAUUUAAUGCCGAAAACCCUCGAAACUGUAGAAGAUGAUGUCCGUUGAAGGUCAAGGUCAAAGUAAAGGUCGCCAUUGGAUAGCCAGAAAAAAUCCUAGACUACUAGUACUUUUCUUUGAUCCAAACUGCUACAUGUUGCUAGAUGACCAGUAACUCAUUGAAUUGGAACAGGGGCGGCCCGUCAGUUACAAUUAUUAUGGUUUCAAGUUUAUUUUUCGGAUACAAUGAUAUGCAAAAAUGAUGUUGUAUCGCAGACUUAAAAUGCGUUUAUCUCGAAAACAGUUGAAGUUAGCGAGAUGAAUGUAGUAUACCUUUUUUAAGUAAAAAUAUUAAGAGAAUAAAAAUGUUGAUUCAAAAAGUACGUGGAGUGGGAGAUAAAAAUAAUUGAACGUAUUAAAUGAGCGCUGAAAGACGUAUGUAGCGCCCUCUGGGUAAUACAUCAUUUUUGGUGGAAAAUUUAGAUUUCUCAUCCCAAAAACCCCCGCCUACCAAAUUUCGUGCUGUUAUCCCAUGUCUGUCAGGAAAUAUUCAAGAAUAAAUACAAUAAAAGUUUAACUUUGACACCCUGUAUUUCGGUUAUUAUCAACUUUCGUACUAAGGUAAGUUAGCUUAAAUCGACCUAUUUUAACCUCAGGAAUGUAAGGUUAAGCUAUGGCAUGGUCCAUUAUUUACACCCUGUGCCUAUAUAGGUAUGUACAUAUUAUAUUAUACACUGUAUGUGUCGCCUACCCGUAUACUGAGGUCACGAGCCGCCACUGAAUUGGAAUACCCAGUAAAUCUUAUAAUUUUCCGAGUUUGUGCCUCCAUAUUUUGAAAAUCCUCCAUACGAUCGAGGUGUUGCCCAUGAGAACUUUUCAUCACAAUGCUUCACAGAGUAUUUUCCCAAAGUAUGAAUUAAAUCCACUGAGACCUAAUUUCCAUAAGGUUUGUACUUUAUCAAAAUUUGUAAUUCAGUGAUGCCUUUUUUAUUGUGUGUUUUUUAAAGAUUUUAGACGUUGUUCAUAAAGAUUUCUUACAUGUUUCCCUUGUUUUUUUUUUUCAAUUACCUUUGCCCAUCAAAUCUGCUUUGGAAUAUGACCUAAUAUAGAUCGUUUUAAAACCAAAUUUUCUACCUUGAUCGAUACUUCUUGACAUUUGCUGAUGGUCGUUUUAGUUUAUAAUAUUCGUGUGUGUAUUACAAGAAUAGAGACUAAAUUUUCUGUAUUACGCAUUUGGGCUCUCGCUAUCAGGUUAAUCGGAUUUGUAUUAAUCCGACUUUUACCGCAAUCGUUUGAAUAUGUAAUACGGUAAUCUUCGUAAAAUCACUUAAUCGAUUUUACGUAGUAACAAGUCUUUUACUCAACACGUACACACGCACACACAUACUGUGGUUACUCACAUCAAUCUGCCACUGAUUUUUAGGAUGACCACAUGAAUGGUCAUUUGGACUGAUCUUCUUGUACGCUUUUUAUUUACUUACAUCUGGUUAAAAAUUCGAACAAGCCUUUUACACUGCUAUCUUGUCUAUUUGUUACAAUUCUUGUUUUCUUAUCCUGUAUUUUUUUUCAUAUUUUUUGUAUAUGUAUGUUUAUUGAUUUAAUAAUAAAUAUUUUAAAUACACUCGCGAUCAUAAAAAGCGGGUCACUCGAUGAGUUAUUCAAGUUAGAUGUCUCGAAUUUUCUAAAUCUGUUGUCCAAUUUGAGUGAUUUUUUAGUAUGUUAUAGCCUUAUUCUUUAGCAAUAUCGCUAUAAUAAUAUUGUUGCUAGACCGGUAAAUUGUCAUUGUAUACCGGGUGUAACAAUCAUACUGUGUUUAUUCCUAAAAGUUCGGAACACCCUGUGGAAUGUUUUAGCAUAAAUAAAAUAUUGAAAUUAAAACUAAAUUGUAGCCUUACGCUCUCUUAACAUUUUCUUUUUUGAUUUAUUUGUUUAUGUUGGAUAAUAAAAAAAGUAAGCACGUUAAUAACUAGCCAUGUGUCUUCAUCAAUACAUGGUGUUUUUAAAUAAGUGCGACAAACUUUAAGGGGUAAUUCUGUAUGAAAAAAUAAUGACAGUUUGCUUUAUAAACGUAAUGCUUCGUUUCCGAGAUACGGGAUGUUAAAAUUUUCCUUACAAACUGACGAUUUAUUUAUUGCUCUAAAACCAAUAGAGAUAUGCAAAUGAAAUUUGGUAGGUUUGAAGAGGCAGUUAUUGUGGAUUUUUUGACAUAAAAUUAAUAAUUCUAUAUUCACCAUUGGCGUACAUACGGGUAUAAACAUUUUAGAUACAUCCCGUAUGCACGCCAAUGGUGAAUAUAAAAUUCUUAAUUGUAUGUCAAAAAUGCGCCAUAACUACCUCUUAACAUCUACCAAAUUUCAUUUGCAUAUCUCAACCGGUUUUAGAGCAAUAAAUAAAUCGUCAGUUUGUAAGAAAAAAAUCAACAUCCCGUAUCUCGAAACCGAAGAAUUUACGGUCAUAUGUUUAUAAAGCAAACGGUCAUUAUUUUUUCAUGCAGAAUUGCCCCUUAAAGUUUCUCGCACUUAUUUAGAAACACCCUGUAUUGAUGAAAAACAUGGUUAGUUGUUAAGGUGCCUAACUUUUUUAUUAUCCAACAUAAACAAAUAAAUCAAACAAGAAAAUGUUAAGAAAGCCUAAGGCUACAAUCGAGUUUUAAUUUCAAUAUUGUAUAUAUGCUAAAACAUUCCACGGGGUGUUUCGAACUUUGAGGAAUAAACACAGUAUGAUUGUUACACCCGGUAUACAAUGAUAAUUUACCUGUCUAGCAACAAUAUUAUGGCGAUAUUGUUAAAGAAUAAGGCUAUAACAUACUAAAAAAAUCACUCAAAUCGGACAGCAGGUUUAGAAAAUUCGAAGAAAUCUAACUUGAAUAACUCAUCGAGUGACCCGCUUUUUAUGAUCGCGAGUGUAUUUCAUGGUUAUACAACAUAAUUUUAACGUUUUAUUAAAUCCUAGAAACACAAACUUUUGUCUUAGGUACAAGCUCCACCCUGAAAUAAAAAAAAUUAGAUUUUUCAUUGGAAAAAACAAAAAGCUUAGCUUUUUUAAUUGUAAAAAUAUACAACAACUUAGACAACAUUUUUUAAUAGUAAUGUUUAUGAUUUUUUACUAAUGGUAUAUUGUAAAUAAAUAUGUUUAUUGUUGAUUGGAUAUUUAGAAAAUCCUAAUAUUAUAUUUUUAUACCAGCGGUUUAGGUGUCAAAUAAAUACGUAUAUGAUGUGUGAGGGGUAAUAAUUAGCAUAAAAACGUUAAUGACUUAUAGAAAAAGUUUAAUUUUUUAUAUAGUUGUAUUUGCACUUUAUGAAAAAAAAUGUGUCGACCAAAACGUGCCAACUGGUUUUUAAAUACACUUUUUGCAAUAUUUCUUUUGA